RNAcentral lists this ribosomal RNA (445 nucleotides) under Gemella haemolysans. RNAcentral describes it as "bacterial SSU rRNA". It matches the Rfam family "Bacterial small subunit ribosomal RNA", at positions 28 to 460 of the family's 1533-position model. The record is from RNAcentral. Lineage: Bacteria; Bacillati; Bacillota; Bacilli; Caryophanales; Gemellaceae.
GACGAACGCUGGCGGCGUGCCUAAUACAUGCAAGUCGAGCGAAGUUUUUCUGGUGCUUGCACCGGAAAAACUUAGCGGCGAACGGGUGAGUAACACGUAAAGAACCUGCCUCAUAGACUGGGACAACUAUUGGAAACGAUAGCUAAUACCGGAUAACAGCAUUAACUGCAUGGUUGAUGUUUAAAAGUUGGUUUUGCUAACACUAUGAGAUGGCUUUGCGGUGCAUUAGCUAGUUGGUGGGGUAAAGGCCUACCAAGGCGACGAUGCAUAGCCGACCUGAGAGGGUGAUCGGCCACACUGGGACUGAGACACGGCCCAGACUCCUACGGGAGGCAGCAGUAGGGAAUCUUCCGCAAUGGGCGAAAGCCUGACGGAGCAACGCCGCGUGAGUGAAGAAGGAUUUCGGUUCGUAAAGCUCUGUUGUUAGGGAAGAAUGAUUGUGUAG